This 1558-nucleotide ribosomal RNA is filed under the name Salmonella enterica subsp. enterica serovar Heidelberg. Its description in RNAcentral is "partial 23S ribosomal RNA". It matches the Rfam family "Bacterial large subunit ribosomal RNA", at positions 1262 to 2803 of the family's 2925-position model. Lineage: Bacteria; Pseudomonadati; Pseudomonadota; Gammaproteobacteria; Enterobacterales; Enterobacteriaceae. RNAcentral also lists the same sequence under 3 other names. The record is from RNAcentral.
CGUGAGGCAUGCUGGAGGUAUCAGAAGUGCGAAUGCUGACAUAAGUAACGAUAAAGCGGGUGAAAAGCCCGCUCGCCGGAAGACCAAGGGUUCCUGUCCAACGUUAAUCGGGGCAGGGUGAGUCGACCCCUAAGGCGAGGCCGAAAGGCGUAGUCGAUGGGAAACGGGUUAAUAUUCCCGUACUUGGUGUUACUGCGAAGGGGGGACGGAGAAGGCUAUGUUGGCCGGGCGACGGUUGUCCCGGUUUAAGCGUGUAGGUGUGUGUUCCAGGUAAAUCCGGUUCACUUUAACACUGAGGCGUGACGACGAGGCACUACGGUGCUGAAGCAACAAAUGCCCUGCUUCCAGGAAAAGCCUCUAAGCAUCAGGUAACAUCAAAUCGUACCCCAAACCGACACAGGUGGUCAGGUAGAGAAUACCAAGGCGCUUGAGAGAACUCGGGUGAAGGAACUAGGCAAAAUGGUGCCGUAACUUCGGGAGAAGGCACGCUGACACGUAGGUGAAGUGAUUUACUCAUGGAGCUGAAGUCAGUCGAAGAUACCAGCUGGCUGCAACUGUUUAUUAAAAACACAGCACUGUGCAAACACGAAAGUGGACGUAUACGGUGUGACGCCUGCCCGGUGCCGGAAGGUUAAUUGAUGGGGUCAGCGCAAGCGAAGCUCCUGAUCGAAGCCCCGGUAAACGGCGGCCGUAACUAUAACGGUCCUAAGGUAGCGAAAUUCCUUGUCGGGUAAGUUCCGACCUGCACGAAUGGCGUAAUGAUGGCCAGGCUGUCUCCACCCGAGACUCAGUGAAAUUGAACUCGCUGUGAAGAUGCAGUGUACCCGCGGCAAGACGGAAAGACCCCGUGAACCUUUACUAUAGCUUGACACUGAACAUUGAGCCUUGAUGUGUAGGAUAGGUGGGAGGCUUUGAAGUGUGGACGCCAGUCUGCAUGGAGCCGACCUUGAAAUACCACCCUUUAAUGUUUGAUGUUCUAACGUGGACCCGUUACCCGGGUUGCGGACAGUGUCUGGUGGGUAGUUUGACUGGGGCGGUCUCCUCCUAAAGAGUAACGGAGGAGCACGAAGGUUGGCUAAUCCUGGUCGGACAUCAGGAGGUUAGUGCAAUGGCAUAAGCCAGCUUGACUGCGAGCGUGACGGCGCGAGCAGGUGCGAAAGCAGGUCAUAGUGAUCCGGUGGUUCUGAAUGGAAGGGCCAUCGCUCAACGGAUAAAAGGUACUCCGGGGAUAACAGGCUGAUACCGCCCAAGAGUUCAUAUCGACGGCGGUGUUUGGCACCUCGAUGUCGGCUCAUCACAUCCUGGGGCUGAAGUAGGUCCCAAGGGUAUGGCUGUUCGCCAUUUAAAGUGGUACGCGAGCUGGGUUUAGAACGUCGUGAGACAGUUCGGUCCCUAUCUGCCGUGGGCGCUGGAGAACUGAGGGGGGCUGCUCCUAGUACGAGAGGACCGGAGUGGACGCAUCACUGGUGUUCGGGUUGUCAUGCCAAUGGCACUGCCCGGUAGCUAAAUGCGGAAGAGAUAAGUGCUGAAAGCAUCUAAGCACGAAACUUGCCCCGAG